Molecule: transfer RNA, 119 nt
Filed under: Candidatus Woesearchaeota archaeon
Lineage: Archaea; Nanobdellati; Candidatus Woesearchaeota
Description: tRNA-Arg
Source: RNAcentral
GGGCGCGUAGUAUAGCCUGGAUAGUACACUUGGCUUCGGACCAGGAGACUCCAGUUCGAAGCAAAAGCAAGCUUUUGGUUCGCCAAGACCUUGCCUUGACGAAAUUCUGGACGCGCUCA